This is a long non-coding RNA of Gouania willdenowi (blunt-snouted clingfish), 1552 nucleotides long. NCBI's taxonomy places the organism in Eukaryota, Metazoa, Chordata, Actinopteri, Blenniiformes, Gobiesocidae. The record is from Ensembl.
GUUCAGAUCAGUUGGCGUUGAAUGCUGGAGCUGUGCACAACGAAUCAUAAAAGGGCACAGUGUAUCCCAGACUUUAGCAGAACAAUGUUGGUUCGAGCUCUGACAAUCACGGCUUUUGCAUCAUUUUUUGUGACAUCCGUCAGUGGCAGCGCUGAUAAAGGGACUUAUGAGAUUCCUUUAUCCUGCUGUGGAGAGCCUAAAGUGGAGUUUGAAAAAGGCUGUGAUUUCCAUGCAUCUGUCAACGAACAGGCAUUCGCUUGGUUUGCAGUAGUUGAAGACGGGACAAAACUACAAUGCACAUCUCCGUGCAAGCAUCUGGAAGAUGGCCUAAUGAUUCUUGAUUCAUGCAGGAAUGUAAACGUCAGUGUGGUGUGCUCUAAUAACAAUGUGGUGACGAGUGAUGUGAUGCAGCAUUACAUCAAGAAGACGUGCAAUGUCACUGGAGCACUAAGUCCUGACGUGUUUGGGCUUCUGGUAUUGUUGGUGGUUCUAUGCUGUACGUGGCAGAUGAUCACCUGAGGCACCUACCUCGACCUGCUAAAUGAAGCCAUUUUUCAUGACACAUGAAAUUAAUAUAAUCGAGGUGAUGGUAAUGGGGAAUUUUUUAUGCACAUUAGCUUUCGUCUUAUUGUGAUCUCAACCCAAGUUUGAACAACAACUGAUUGGGUAUUGUAAAUGAAUUGUUACAAUGCUAUUUUUAUAGCAUUGUUAUAAACAUAUGCUAUUCUAGAUCAGGACUGGGCAACUUUUACCUCAAAAAAUGUGAUUCAAUUUGAUCAGAGGGCCACAAUAUCAACAUUCAUGUCAGCAUUUGAAUUAAUGACCAAUCUUAGCAUUAUUACAGGAAAGAACAAAGGCUUUUGUCUGUAUGUUGUCAUUUUGUAUAUAUUUUUAUUUUGUGUAUAUUUGUAGUCGUCUCUUGUGUUUUUGGAGUACAUUUCUGCAUUUUUCUUGUCCUUUUGUGCAAUUUUUUUUUUUUUUUUUUUGUGAUUUUGUGUAUUUCUCUGUCACUUUGUGUGUUUUUGGAGUCAUUUCCUCUGUGUGAAUGUUUGUAGCUGCACAAAAUGAGUUGCCCAUGUCUGUUCUAGAUCGAUCAAAGGUAGUCUGCCUUUACCAUUUACAAAACCUGAAUGUGUUUUGCUAGUGCUGUAGUUCUCCAGAAAAGAAGCCCCAAACAAACCACAUUUUAAACAAAAUUGUAACAAUAUUUGAAUUUGUGGGUCCACUCUAUGAUCAAACACUAUACAUUUACUUAAAUGCAAUAAGCUUCCGUAGAACGGACCUUCAGCAGUGACAUAUUAUUACACUGUGUAUUUUUUAACAUUUGUUUACGUGUUGGUGGUGCCAACUCUCAGUUUACAAAUUAAUUCUAAUUUUCUCCCUUUCACUUUUAUGACCCUUAACUAACAAAAUGGAAUAUCUAUAUUAUUUAUAAGGUAAUAUAGUACAAAAAUAAUUUAUUUACAUUCAUGUGUUUUUGUGUUGGAGAGAAUGUCAGGCAUUGCACGUUCAUGGGUUCUACUUGAAAAUAAAUUCACACAGGAUACUUCCA